RNAcentral lists this ribosomal RNA (516 nucleotides) under uncultured bacterium. RNAcentral describes it as "bacterial SSU rRNA". It matches the Rfam family "Bacterial small subunit ribosomal RNA", at positions 8 to 518 of the family's 1533-position model. The record is from RNAcentral.
AGAGUUGAUAUGGCUCAGGAUGAACGCUAGCGGCAGGCUUAACACAUGCAAGUCGAGGGGCAGCGGGAUGUAGCAAUACAUUGCCGGCGACCGGCGGAUGGGUGCGUAACGCGUAUGCAACCUACCUAUACAGGGGAAUAACCUUUCGAAAGGGAGACUAACACCCCAUAGUAUUGAUUUAAGGCAUCUUAGAUUAAUUAAAUAUUUAUAGGUAUAAGAUGGGCAUGCGUAUGAUUAGCUAGUUGGUAAGGUAACGGCUUACCAAGGCGACGAUCAUUAGGGGUUCUGAGAGGAAGGUCCCCCACACUGGUACUGAGACACGGACCAGACUCCUACGGGAGGCAGCAGUGAGGAAUAUUGGUCAAUGGGCGCAAGCCUGAACCAGCCAUGCCGCGUGCAGGAAAAGACGGCCUUAUGGGUUGUAAACUGCUUUUACAUAAGACUAACCGUAUAUUUGCGAAUAUACCUGAAUGUAUUAUGAGAAUAAGGAUCGGCUAACUCCGUGCCAGCCGCUGC